Molecule: non-coding RNA, 215 nt
Filed under: chicken gut metagenome
Source: RNAcentral
CCUGUCUAGAAAGUGAUACCCGUCACAUCUAGUAACGAGUCUUGGGUCAUAAAUGGUAACGUUUAUGAUUAAGCGUAGACAGUUAGGUAUUAGGGUUAGUAUUGAGCUUCGAAACGUAUCGAUAUAGAUUGGAAGUGUAGACGUUGUCGUCCAAACGGAAUACAAUAUUUGAUAAUAUGUUAUGGGAAGUAUUAUCAAACUUCCACGGAGUCUGU